AUCAGCAGGGAAGGAAGACCCUGUUGAGUUUGACUGUAGUCUGGCAAGUCAAAGAGAUGGGAGAGGUGUAUGAGUUGGAUCUCCUUGGGAGCCACAAUUCCCUCCCAUCAUGGAGUCGGGGGAAGGGACAGUGCCAGGUGGGGAGUUUGAGUGGGGCACUACACUGGUCAAAUGGUAAUGCAGGUGUUCUAAGUUGAGCACAGGGAGGACAGAAACCUCCCAUGAAACAGAAAGGCAAAAGCUCUCUUGAUCUUUAUUUUCUUUUUUAAUUCUUUAUUGUUUAAAUUAUUACAUAUGUCUCCUUUUCCCCCCAUUGAGAUCUCCCCUUGAUUUUGAUUUUCAAUAGGAAUACAGAUCUUAAAAGCACAGCCUCACGUUUUAAAAAGAAACAAACUAAGGAAAAAUAUGUACUGUGACCUUGACCUACAAUUCUGGUCUCUUCCUCUGUU
Molecule: non-coding RNA, 449 nt
Filed under: Myotis davidii
Lineage: Eukaryota; Metazoa; Chordata; Mammalia; Chiroptera; Vespertilionidae
Description: Eukaryotic large subunit ribosomal RNA
Rfam family: Eukaryotic large subunit ribosomal RNA
Source: Rfam by way of RNAcentral